CGUCCCACAUUACGAUCACCAAAACAACGACGGAUAUUAGCAGAUAAAGUGAUCGACUCAAAACACCAACCAUAAUUCAAUUAAGGGGCAUCAGAACUUUCACAGAAGCAGUUCGCACCAAGAGACUCCUGAUGAAAAAGCUCACUUGAAAAGUGUCAUCAAUAAGUGACACGUACAUAUUUUUCAGAUUAUGGUGUUUAGGAUUUCAGAUUACGACUAUGGCGGAUAUUAAUAUUAGUAUAUAAAUAUGUAGGAAAGAUGAUGGGAAUAUGACACAUUUUAAAAAACAGUUCAAUAUUUUCAAUGAAAAAUGUUUCAAAUGUAAUAAAAUAAAAGAUAAAAUUAAAGUUGAACAUGUUAUCUAUUAGCAUGCGACUGAUUUAAUACAAUUUUUAUUGUAUAAUACAUAAAAAUAUUGGAUUUGGAAAAACGUUUAUUUGCGCCUUAUUAUCCAGCACUCGUGUAAUGCAGCGCACCGUGAUUUCGACAUUAAAAGAUUAUUAGGAUCGAUACUAUUUUCUGAUUAUAUUCAAUUGAAUUUGUAAUUUAUAUUGAGUUGUAUUGAUUUAUAUUGAUUUACAUUGAAUUGUAGUUGAAAAAAUAAAAAAAAAUU
Molecule: long non-coding RNA, 613 nt
Organism: Monomorium pharaonis (pharaoh ant)
Lineage: Eukaryota; Metazoa; Arthropoda; Insecta; Hymenoptera; Formicidae
Exons: 4
Source: RefSeq, a predicted model, not a curated record